AACGUAGGACACAAGCGUUAUCCGGAGUUACUGGGCGUAAAGGGCGUGUAGGCGGAUCGGUAAGUCUACUCUGAAAGCUCCUGGCUAAACUGGGAGAGGCGAGUGGAGACUGUCGGUCUAGAGUGAGGAAGAGGAAAGUGGAAUUCCGCGUGUAGUGGUGAAAUGCGUAGAGAUGCGGAGGAACACCAGUGGCGAAAGCGGCCUACUGGGCCGGACCUGACGCUGAGACGCGAAGGCGUGGGGAGCGAACGGG
This 253-nucleotide ribosomal RNA is filed under the name uncultured bacterium. RNAcentral describes it as "partial 16S ribosomal RNA". It matches the Rfam family "Bacterial small subunit ribosomal RNA", at positions 524 to 776 of the family's 1533-position model. The record is from RNAcentral.